This 76-nucleotide transfer RNA is filed under the name Puniceicoccales bacterium. RNAcentral's name for it is "tRNA-Thr". It matches the Rfam family "tRNA". From Rfam's summary of the family: Transfer RNA (tRNA) molecules are approximately 80 nucleotides in length. Their secondary structure includes four short double-helical elements and three loops (D, anti-codon, and T loops). Lineage: Bacteria; Pseudomonadati; Verrucomicrobiota; Opitutia; Puniceicoccales. The record is from RNAcentral.
GCCCUUGUAGCUCAGCUGGUAGAGCACAUCCUUGGUAAGGAUGAGGUCGGCGGUUCAAAUCCGCUCGGGGGCUCCA